This 288-nucleotide long non-coding RNA is filed under the name Rattus norvegicus (Norway rat). Its description in RNAcentral is "long non-coding RNA NONRATT025902". Lineage: Eukaryota; Metazoa; Chordata; Mammalia; Rodentia; Muridae. The record is from RNAcentral.
GGACGCUUUCCGGAGCUGCGGAGGUAAGGGAUCGGCGGGUGAUUUGGGAGGUAAAUUGGAGGCAAAACUAGGAGAGACACCUGGCUUUAAAAUAUCCCUGGACGACCGAGAGCGGUAGCACACGCCUGCCAUCUGAGCGCUUGGGAAGCAGAGGCACGAACAAUGGACACCCAGAAAGAUGUUCAACCACCAAAGCAGCAGCCAAUGAUAUAUAUUUGUGGAGAGUGUCACACCGAAAAUGAAAUAAAAUCCAGGGAUCCAAUCAGAUGCAGAGAAUGUGGAUACAGA